UACGUAUGGUGCAAGCGUUAUCCGGAUUUACUGGGUGUAAAGGGAGCGUAGGCGGCGCGUUAAGUCUGAUGUGAAAACCCGAGGCUCAACCACGGGAGUGCAUUGGAAACUGGCGGGCUGGAGUGCCGGAGAGGUAAGCGGAAUUCCUAGUGUAGCGGUGAAAUGCGUAGAUAUUAAGAGGAACACCAGUGGCGAAGGCGGCUUACUGGACGGCAACUGACGCCGAGGCUCGAAAGCGUGGGGAGCAAACAGG
RNAcentral lists this ribosomal RNA (253 nucleotides) under uncultured bacterium. Its description in RNAcentral is "partial 16S ribosomal RNA". It matches the Rfam family "Bacterial small subunit ribosomal RNA", at positions 524 to 776 of the family's 1533-position model. The record is from RNAcentral.